AGCGUUUCUCUCUCUCCCUAUUGUCGCCGUCUCCAAUUGUUUACAGAGUUUUUGUUAAUUUCAUAGGAGCUUUUCUACACAACAACACUUGAUUCUCUCUCAAUUUUAAAGGAUAGUAUAUUUGAUUUUGAAACGAUUAGGAUGAAUAUGAUUUGUGAUAUUGUUGUUUGUUCGUUGGAUGUAGUUUUUUUUUUAUGAUGAUGAUACAGGAGAUUUCUUGCUAUUUUGAUCUGGAGCUUGGGAAAAUCAAGACUAAACGUUUUGCUGCAAGAGAGUGUAAUGGUGGACGACAUGAUUGACACAACAGGGAGCCAUUGAGCCAGUUCGACGUUGGGGACUGAUUGAGUGAAGCAACAACGGUAAAUAAUCGACUUAUGGAACUUUCAUGUGAAAGCUAAUUUCCUCCACGGAUCAAGGGAGUUUGUGUUAAAUGCAUUUUUAGAAUUCCGUAUUUUGUAGUUGGGGCACAUGUAUAUGUCAUAUAUUGUGUGACAUUUUGAUUUAUCUAUAAGUUGCAGAGAGAAUGUUGUGGCUGGUGAUUUUACUGCUGAUAUGGGUCAUUCGUAAAUGGUUUUACGAGACCAAACAUGUUGAACACAAAGGCCAGCUGGAUUUGGUGAUUGAGACUGAUAAAGGAUGUGAAGAACUCGUGUUUAAUCAUCUCAGGCAGCUUUUUCCCAACCACAAGUUCAUUGGAGAAGAAACUGCAGCUGCCUUCGGUGUGACUGAACUGACUGAUGAACCAACUUUGAUUGUUGAUCCUCUUGAUGGAACUACUAAUUUCGUUCACGGGUUCCCUUUUGUGUGUGUUUCCAUUGGACUUACCAUCGGAAAAGUCCCAGUGGUUGGCGUUGUUUUCAAUCCGAUUAUGGAUGAGCUAUAUAUCGGUGUCCAAACAUGUUGAACACAAAGGCCAGGUGGAUUUGGUGACAGAGACCGAUAAGGAUGUGAAGAUUUCGUCUUUAAUCAUCUCAAGCAGCUUUUCCCAACCACAAGACUCUUGAAGAGGCUCUGAACAAGCUAGAGGGUGUUACAUGCAAUAGAGCAGAAGGAGCUAUGUAUCUAUUCCCUUGCCUUAACCUUUCAAAGAAGGCGAUUGCAGCUGCAGAGGCUGAAAAGACAGCACAAGACAACUACUACUACAAACGCAUUCUAAAAGCUACUAGAAUAGUUGUAGUCCCUGGUUCCGGCUUUAGACAGGUUUGAAAAAAGGAAAAAGCUUUCGCUUUAAAGAACCAAACCAAACUAGGUGAGAAGAAGAGCAAAGAUCUUCGAUCAAACGCGAAGAUUAUGACGAUGAUGAUGAUGGUCUUUUCAGAGAUGUAGUGAUGGUGAUAGAGAUCUUAGACCUUCUCGCCGAUCCAUGAAGCGAGGGACUUCAAACGAUACAGUUCAAGGAGCUUUCCAAUCUGUUUGAAGAGAAAGAGUCAAGCUUGGAGGAAGUGAAGCAAGAAGACAUCAAACAGAGAUGGGUUUAUCGAUCCAAUAGAUUUGCCAAGAGUUUUGACUGCCCUUGGCUUAAAACAAGGAUCUAACAGUAAGCGUUGCAGGAGAAUGAUCAGAUCAUUCAAUGGAAAUAAAGACAGAAUAAUCGAUUUCUAUAGAUUUGUGAAAUUCAUGGAGAACAAUCUAUUAGUUUAUUUAUCCCUUAUUUUCUUCUUGCUGAGUCUUUUACUAUAGUUGUGUCAGAACCUUUUUAAAAUUUCUGAACUGUCACUAAAGACCGUUAAAACUAAUGAGAAUGGAGAUAAUUGUCACAGA
Molecule: non-coding RNA, 1761 nt
Organism: Camelina sativa (false flax)
Lineage: Eukaryota; Viridiplantae; Streptophyta; Magnoliopsida; Brassicales; Brassicaceae
Source: RefSeq, a predicted model, not a curated record